Long non-coding RNA from Crotalus tigris (Tiger rattlesnake), 1140 nucleotides. RefSeq lists it as uncharacterized. The transcript has 5 exons. The record is from RefSeq and is a predicted model, not a curated record. NCBI's taxonomy places the organism in Eukaryota, Metazoa, Chordata, Lepidosauria, Squamata, Viperidae.
AGGUUCGUCUGAUAUCUAAGGGACAUCCAGAGCCACCAGAAAAGGAACUUUCCAGUAGUGGUUCCCCAGCUGGAAACAGUUUCUCCCUUAUCAGAUAACGAGAUUGUCAUUGCUUCUCCACCAGACGUUAGAGCCAGAAAGAGGCUAAUAUUUGACAACUUGACAACGGAAAAAUUAAGCAGCCCAUUUACCAGCCUUGACAACUGGCAAGAUCAGAUUGGUCUCUUCCACAACAGCUGAUCGGCUCAUUGCUAUGGGAACCAGCAGGAAACAAAGUACCACACAACAGGAGCUGCUGCUCAGAGUGCAGGUCACCUGGAGAAGCUGAUGAAACAGAUCCUCUGGCCUGUCUUCUUACAACAGAAAUUUAGGACUGAGAAAGGAGCCAAGGAGUCCUUUUGGAAUUUAACAGAUAGAAAUUUGGGGGUAAACAUCCUUUGCGUCUUUGGGACACAUCCACAACCUUAUGAAGUAUGAAAGCAGGAAUCUUCCCACAAGCUCUUCAUAUACAGGAGUUACAUUGGCUGCCCAUGGGAAUGGAGCCUGGAGGCUUUACAAAGGCACAAGUGAAUUGCUGGAAAGCUGGAGAUUCCCUUCUUCCCACUGGUGCUAGAUGCUUCUUCCUUUUUGUGUUUGCUAAAUAGGCUUUAUUUAAUAACUAACCUCUACAAUAAUGAGAUGGAAAUACUUGCUAAACCAGUAAUUGGAAUGCCAGGAAGAGAGAGACAGAUUGGAAGGAAAUGAAAUCCUACAACCAUGGCAUGUAUUUUGAACUAAUGACUGUAUUAUUCAAUCAUAUUAAGAAUGGGAUACCUCAUUUUUAAUCAAUGCUAGAACAUCGUAUUAUGACCUUUACAGAUGAGAAGCUAACAGUGCAUACAUCACAGUUGUGAUAGCCUUGCUGUAAGUGUGUAGAAGUUGGACUAGAUACCAAAACUAAUUUUUAAGACCCCACAGCAAAAGGGUUUCUAAAUCACACCUCUGAUGUUAGAAGCUGAUCGCAGAUACAGCGAACAAGGCUGCAAGUAGCACCUUAAUCCUCCAUGAGCUUGCUUUCCAAAAAUAUUGUUUUGUGCUGUCCAGAGUCACCUUCUGCGAGACAGGCUGCUAUAUACAUUUAAUUAAUUAAUUGUUAUCAGA